GCUGGGCGCGGUGGUGCACGCCUGUAAUCCCAGAGGCUUGGGAGGCUGAGAUGCGAGGAUCGUGAGUUCAAAGCCAGCCUCGGCAACUUAGCGAGGCACUAAGGAACUCAGUGAGACCCUGUCUCUA
Molecule: small RNA, 127 nt
Filed under: Marmota monax (woodchuck)
Lineage: Eukaryota; Metazoa; Chordata; Mammalia; Rodentia; Sciuridae
Source: RNAcentral